GAAGAAAUGCAUGACAUGCUCACCGUAACACCCGAAGCGCCAGGAUGUUGAUGUGUAUUCUGGAUUCCCAAGGGGUCUGGGUCUCUUGCAUCACAUGCUCCCCCAUGUGGGCACCCCAUCCGGAGAGUGAUGCAUCCAUGAUGAUAGUCGUGUCCGAUGAAGAUGAGAGGAACAGCAUCCCGGCAAAGACCUGUCUUGGGUACGUCCACCACUGGAACGAGGAGAGCACCUUGGGAGGCACUGACAGCAGAAAGUCUGUGGUAUAUCCUGUGGGUGACUAGACUUUUGGAGCCAUAGCUGAAGUCGGCGAAGUCAGAGGUGAGCGAAAGCAGUGACGUAUGUGCAGGCUGCCACGUUGCCAAGGAGGGAAAGGCAAGUCCUGACAAAACAGAAGAACUGUUGACUACUUUGAUGAUGAGUUCCUGCAGGGUCUCGAACCUGUCCCACGGUAAGUAGGCUUGUGCUGAGACUGAGUUGAUGGAGGCCCCUAUGAAAUGCAGGGAUUGCAUGGGAACCAAAGUUGAUUUUUCAACACUGACACUUACCCCCAGGGAAGAAAGUAGCCUGAGUAACAUGGAGGUUGAGGCUCAACCCUCGUCCCUGGAUCGCGCUGGUAGCAGACAGUCAUCAAGACAGGGGAAUAUAAGGACCUCGUGACGCCAGUGGUGGGCCACUAUGACAGAGAAAAUUUUGGCGAAGACCUGUGGAGCAGUGUACCAGACUGAGCAGCUCAUUCUCCAAAACCAGUUCCAAACAUCUACUCAAGGAUGCCCAAAGCAGGGAUGGGGUGAACCCUCUCUUGCUGAUUGGGAAGGCUCUGAAAGUGGAUAUUGAGGCCAAUAUGGCCAACAGGAUGGAUCCACCAGAUGCUGCGGAGAGCCCCACGGAGCGAGGCUCCAGCAUGGGGUCCAUAGUACUGUUACUGGCAGAACCGGACUCGAUCUCUGCAGUUGGAGGUGCACUCCUGGAUUUCUCAGGCUGAUGUACAGGAGGGGUUCCCCAGCCUGGAUCCGACUGCAGCCUCAUGGCGACCUCCAUGAUGUGCUUUUUGAGGCAGAGAUCCCAGCCUUCUCAGGUAUGCCUUAGGAAGGACAGGCAGAUACUGCACCUGGAUGAAAUGUGGGCUUCUCCCAAGGAUCAGAGCAGCAUUGGUGCUUGUCGCUGACUGAGAAUGAACAAUCUUGAACCCUGGAGUCUUCGGCAUAAUCCAGUACCUGGAUGCAGGUGCUGGAUUGGGUGGGAGGGACUAGUAACAGAUUCUCCAAAAUCUCUUAUCUCCUAAAAACUACUACUAAACGCUAAACUACAGUUGAAAAACAA
Long non-coding RNA from Mauremys reevesii (Reeves's turtle), 1320 nucleotides. RefSeq lists it as uncharacterized. The record is from RefSeq and is a predicted model, not a curated record. NCBI's taxonomy places the organism in Eukaryota, Metazoa, Chordata, Testudines, Geoemydidae. The transcript is spliced from 3 exons.